This 466-nucleotide ribosomal RNA is filed under the name Vreelandella stevensii. RNAcentral's name for it is "partial 16S ribosomal RNA". It matches the Rfam family "Bacterial small subunit ribosomal RNA", at positions 338 to 795 of the family's 1533-position model. The record is from RNAcentral. Lineage: Bacteria; Pseudomonadati; Pseudomonadota; Gammaproteobacteria; Oceanospirillales; Halomonadaceae.
CCUACGGGCGGCAGCAGUGGGGAAUAUUGGACAAUGGGGGGAACCCUGAUCCAGCCAUGCCGCGUGUGUGAAGAAGGCCCUCGGGUUGUAAAGCACUUUCAGUGAGGAAGAACGCCUGGUGGUUAAUACCCAUCAGGAAAGACAUCACUCACAGAAGAAGCACCGGCUAACUCCGUGCCAGCAGCCGCGGUAAUACGGAGGGUGCGAGCGUUAAUCGGAAUUACUGGGCGUAAAGCGCGCGUAGGUGGCUUGAUAAGCCGGUUGUGAAAGCCCCGGGCUCAACCUGGGAACGGCAUCCGGAACUGUCAAGCUAGAGUGCAGGAGAGGAAGGUAGAAUUCCCGGUGUAGCGGUGAAAUGCGUAGAGAUCGGGAGGAAUACCAGUGGCGAAGGCGGCCUUCUGGACUGACACUGACACUGAGGUGCGAAAGCGUGGGUAGCAAACAGGAUUUAGAUACCCGGGUAGUC